Molecule: ribosomal RNA, 498 nt
Filed under: uncultured bacterium
Lineage: Bacteria
Description: partial 16S ribosomal RNA
Rfam family: Bacterial small subunit ribosomal RNA
Source: RNAcentral
AUUGAACGCUGGCGGCAUGCCUUACACAUGCAAGUCGAACGGUAACAGGUCUUCGGAUGCUGACGAGUGGCGAACGGGUGAGUAAUACAUCGGAACGUGCCUAGUAGUGGGGGAUAACUACUCGAAAGAGUGGCUAAUACCGCAUGAGAUCUACGGAUGAAAGCAGGGGAUCGCAAGACCUUGUGCUACUAGAGCGGCCGGUGGCAGAUUAGGUAGUUGGUGGGAUAAAAGCUUACCAAGCCGACGAUCUGUAGCUGGUCUGAGAGGACGAUCAGCCACACUGGGACUGAGACACGGCCCAGACUCCUACGGGAGGCAGCAGUGGGGAAUUUCGGACAAUGGGCGCAAGCCUGAUCCAGCAAUGCCGCGUGCAGGAUGAAGGCCUUCGGGUUGUAAACUGCUUUUGUACGGAACGAAAAGCCCUGGGUUAAUACCCUGGGGUCAUGACGGUACCGUAAGAAUAAGCACCGGCUAACUACGUGCCAGCCGCCGCAGUAA